GUUAUCUGGAGGAAAAAUCUGAGGCAACAGUUUGGUGCAGUACAGAGAAGCAAAGCAAUAUACAGUAGCUGCACACAGCUUGAUUGGUUUCAGGAUCACAACUAAAUAUUCUUACUAUGACCGUUAGUACAGAAAUGUUCUGUAAUUAGAAAAAAUGAGAAGUAUUACUCUCAUGCUGUACAGUCUCAUGUUUCUUGGUUAGAAAAGAACAAGUGAUUGAGUUUGAAUCUUUCACGCCAACUUGCUAGGCUGUUGCCUCUGGAAUGUUCAGCACAAAGGUUAAGCUCCAGACAUAAUUUAAGUGCUUUUCAUGUGCAAACUGUUACUGGCUAAAGCUUUCAAAGUACAUUUAAUUACAGAUAUGAACACCCUGUAAAGAUAUGAGGAUAUGAUAGCAGACCCAGAGGCCAAUACAGAUUCUUUAAGAGAAAUACUAUGUUCAGCUGCAGUAGUUCUAGUCCCUGAUUAGGUCCUUCCAAAGAAACUGCACAUUUCAAUUGUAGGAAAUAGACCAUUCUUUGACAGAAGCAUCAUGGGAUGUUGUUACCAGAGUAUGUUCAUCCAACCAUGCCAAGCAGCUUACAUGAUGUAGUCUGUGAGCAUCUGGUAUCUUGAUUCUGGUCUCAGGAUCACUUACAGUCCAAACAUAUACCAUCAUAUCCAUGCCUCCAGAAGCAAAGUGUUCAUUGUCUGGUGACCAGGCAAUACAAACAACUUUUGCAUGAUGUCCAUAAAAAACAUUAUGUUCCGCAUAGCCAUCAGGGACACUAAAGACAGUGACAACUUUGUUUGCAUCACAAACUGCAAGAAAGGCACCAUCGUGAGAAUAUGCCAGGUCAGUAACAGGACCUUUAGCUUCCAAAGUCUUAUCAUCACUUUUCAAAGAGGUUCCUUGGAUUGAAUACAAACGGACAUUCCCAUCCGUUCCUCCCACUGCUACUGAACCUCCUCCAGGGUGAACAGCCACAGCUUCUGGCUCAUAGCCAAGGUCAUCAAUUGCAAAACAUUUUUUCUUAUCUUUCAUCAAGACAAUUUGUCCAAUGCAUAAAACUACAGUAUAGCCACCAGGACCCACAGCUAAACAUUUUGGUUGAACAUCCAUUUUCACAGCAUCCUGGCCACUGUAGUCCCUCUUGCUAAGGUUGGUAUAGCGCACAGUGUCAUCCAUACUGCAGGUGACAAGCUGAUCCAUUUCAUCCACUGCCAUUCUAGAAACCUGGUUUGUAUGGCCUUUCCCAGAAAAGCCGUCGUUCUCUCCAGUGUCAGAAUCCCAAUAAUUAAUAUGACCAUCGUUACUGCCAGAAUAAAUAUAGGACUUUCCACCAUUUUUAUGCACUGUGAGACACUGAAUUGAUUUACUAUGACCCUGUGAAUAGGACACAAAAAAUAAUUAUUGAUGAGCAAUUUUUCAUUUUAACAUUUAUAAACACUGAAUCUAUUUGAGAAGAAUUACAAGUUAUUUAGAAAGUAACAAUUUUAUUCAUAAGCAUUCAAGGUCAUCCAGAAUACAAAUCACUAAUUAACGAUGAAGUUGUUUUACUGCUGCAGUAUUGCUCUUUCCAUAUACUACCCUUUAAGGAGUAAGUAGUUACUGUGAAU
RNAcentral lists this long non-coding RNA (1599 nucleotides) under Gallus gallus (chicken). The record is from RNAcentral. Lineage: Eukaryota; Metazoa; Chordata; Aves; Galliformes; Phasianidae.